Molecule: long non-coding RNA, 1100 nt
Filed under: Agrilus planipennis (emerald ash borer)
Lineage: Eukaryota; Metazoa; Arthropoda; Insecta; Coleoptera; Buprestidae
Description: uncharacterized LOC108736366, transcript variant X2
Source: RNAcentral
UUAAAAAAAUUAUCACUUGUUAUUCUAGAGAUUGUGUUUUAACGACUUGUUUUUUUUCUGUAUAUAGACUUGCUUUGAGAUGAUAUGCUUGGAUUCAAUGGACAAACUACUUGUAGCAACCAGACAUGUUUUUAUUUCCAAGAAUGGUUGUAAUGAGCUGGUCAAAAAAUUCAUGGGACACAGGGUGCUAACAAUGGUUUAUAUUAAAACAUAAUAAAUGUACAUGGAGAAGGUAAAUCAAAGGGGAAAUGUGGAGAAGCAAGGUCUCCAAUCAUGAUUCUUUCGCGUGGUUACGGAAAUGGGUCGUUUGUAGAAAGAGUAAGGGAUGCCAUUUAAACAUAUUAAAUGAAGAAGGAGACAAAAAAUAAGGAUUCAAAACCUGGAGAAUUGGAGCCCCUUUAAUGUUUCCUUCCCUUGGCUGUGAAAAGUGCGAUUUUUAAAAAAUAUGUGCAGUCCGAUUUACGCUGAUGCAUAUACGAUUGCAAUGGGAUGUGUGGAAUAAAUUUCGAGUACCGUAGAGUAAUCCUCCAGCAUAAAUCUAUGUUAUCGUGCAUCUAUGGGGUUCUCUUUUAACUAUCUAUUGUCCAGUAUAUAAAUUGACAUCGUACAUCUACUGUUAUUUCUAUAGCCUCUAUGACGAAUAAAAUUGACAUCUCGUCGCCAUUUUAUAAUCGUCUGACAAAUGGGAGAGAAUUAAAGUUCAGAUUGGUGGUACUGAAACAAUAUUUACAAUGGUGCUGCCUUUGGUGUAUUACAAUCUUGAUUAGCUGUCUUCACCUUGCAACAUUAUGCAGUUAAUUUUCAAGUGAUGAGUGAGAGCAACUGAAGAUUUAUGCGAAUUCUACUGAAAUAACAAAUUUUCUGCAUUGGCAUUCCUCUUGGAUUUGAUUUGCUUUUCACAUCUGCAAACUUUAGAACAUUACAGUCUACAGUUAAUUAAGAUCGACGUUGGAGAAGACAAAGAUGACCCCAUAGUUAAAAUAGUUCUCUAUCUUGCAUGCUUUAUGUAGUAGAAGUCAUCAAGUUCAUUUUAUUCAAAUUAGUUUUUUAUUUUGCAUGUAUUUUUGUAGUUUAUUUGUUUUUUAAAUUAAUUUUUAUUU